RNAcentral lists this transfer RNA (65 nucleotides) under Cupriavidus necator N-1. Its description in RNAcentral is "tRNA-Leu (CAA) (tRNA-Leu-CAA-2-1)". Lineage: Bacteria; Pseudomonadati; Pseudomonadota; Betaproteobacteria; Burkholderiales; Burkholderiaceae. The record is from RNAcentral.
CGGGAGAUUUUUCACCCUGCAUGGGGUGCAGGUGGUCGGAGGUUCAAAUCCUCUCGCCCCGACCA